UGAGAGGCAGACCCGAGAGCCCGAGACCCGAGCCGGGAGCCGGGAUGCUAGGGUCCAGGGUAUUCACGCCGGGGGUCUGAAGAUAUUCGUGUACCGCUUCCGUCUAUCAGCCAAACUUCAGCUGACCUUUGGACUCGUUAAACGAGUAGCUUGCAGCCUGAUGUGCAAGGCGCCGGGACUUUUCCACCCGCUGUGGGUCCGGCUUUAAGUCCGGAGAGAAGGAGAAACUGCGCUCGGGGGCUCAGCUCCAGGACACAGCGGUUCCCAGGGCCAGAGACUGAUCUCUGUGGACGCGAGGUCAAGGCGGCGGUGGCUGGCGACUCCCACGCCAAGUUGGGAAGGGGCCGACCAAGCCAGCGAGGGACAGAAGUGAUUGUUCACGCCGGCCCGGCCCAGGAAGGAAGGCGGGAACCUCUCAGCGCUAUCGGAGUUCACGGAGGCGCUCAGAGGCGAGGAAGAAGGCAGGAGGUGCGCCCCGACUCCAGGCUGCCCUGGACCUGCAGAAGAUCCAGGGUAGCGGGGGCUUUUUAGGACCCAUGGCUCACAGUCCCGUAGUUCCUGGGGCAGAGGACACCUCCUUCCCCUCUCUAAGCCUCAGGUUCAUCACCUAAGAAAUACUGAAACCUAAAGCCCAGAGGAUGCGGCAUUGUGUACACUGAGUGAGCCCACCUGUGAAACCCUGUAUUCCAGGAACAGUGUUCACACUUUUCUGAGAAGGCAGGCAGUCGGUUCCUAGUAGUAAAAUCUAGCCCUAGGGAGGUUCAGGAUUCUCAGAACCAGGCAAAUUCAGCGCUGGGCGUGGGGGGGACUGGGAG
RNAcentral lists this long non-coding RNA (815 nucleotides) under Bos mutus (wild yak). RNAcentral describes it as "lncRNA (ENSBMUG00000005850.1)". The record is from RNAcentral. Lineage: Eukaryota; Metazoa; Chordata; Mammalia; Artiodactyla; Bovidae.